UGCGUAGGCGGGGCAAUUAGUCAGUGGUGAAAUCCUGCGGCUUAACCGUAGAACUGCCAUUGAUACUGUUGCCCUUGAGUAUAGUUGAGGUGGGCGGAAUGUGUAAUGUAGCGGUGAAAUGCAUAGAGAUUACACAGAACACCAAUUGCGAAGGCAGCUCACUAAGCUAUAACUGACGCUGUGGCACGAAAGCGUGGGGAGCGAACAGGAUUAGAUACCCUGGUAGUCC
This 229-nucleotide ribosomal RNA is filed under the name uncultured bacterium. RNAcentral describes it as "partial 16S ribosomal RNA". It matches the Rfam family "Bacterial small subunit ribosomal RNA", at positions 568 to 796 of the family's 1533-position model. The record is from RNAcentral.